GGUUAAGCGACUAAGCGUACACGGUGGAUGCCCUGGCAGUCAGAGGCGAUGAAGGACGUGCUAAUCUGCGAUAAGCGUCGGUAAGGUGAUAUGAACCGUUAUAACCGGCGAUUUCCGAAUGGGGAAACCCAGUGUGAUUCGUCACACUAUCAUUAACUGAAUCCAUAGGUUAAUGAGGCGAACCGGGGGAACUGAAACAUCUAAGUACCCCGAGGAAAAGAAAUCAACCGAGAUUCCCCCAGUAGCGGCGAGCGAACGGGGAGCAGCCCAGAGCCUGAAUCAGUGUGUGUGUUAGUGGAAGCGUCUGGAAAGGCGCGCGAUACAGGGUGACAGCCCCGUACACAAAAAUGCACAUGCUGUGAGCUCGAUGAGUAGGGCGGGACACGUGGUAUCCUGUCUGAAUAUGGGGGGACCAUCCUCCAAGGCUAAAUACUCCUGACUGACCGAUAGUGAACCAGUACCGUGAGGGAAAGGCGAAAAGAACCCCGGCGAGGGGAGUGAAAAAGAACCUGAAACCGUGUACGUACAAGCAGUGGGAGCACGCUUAGGCGUGUGACUGCGUACCUUUUGUAUAAUGGGUCAGCGACUUAUAUUCUGUAGCAAGGUUAACCGAAUAGGGGAGCCGAAGGGAAACCGAGUCUUAACUGGGCGUUAAGUUGCAGGGUAUAGACCCGAAACCCGGUGAUCUAGCCAUGGGCAGGUUGAAGGUUGGGUAACACUAACUGGAGGACCGAACCGACUAAUGUUGAAAAAUUAGCGGAUGACUUGUGGCUGGGGGUGAAAGGCCAAUCAAACCGGGAGAUAGCUGGUUCUCCCCGAAAGCUAUUUAGGUAGCGCCUCGUGAAUUCAUCUCCGGGGGUAGAGCACUGUUUCGGCAAGGGGGUCAUCCCGACUUACCAACCCGAUGCAAACUGCGAAUACCGGAGAAUGUUAUCACGGGAGACACACGGCGGGUGCUAACGUCCGUCGUGAAGAGGGAAACAACCCAGACCGCCAGCUAAGGUCCCAAAGUCAUGGUUAAGUGGGAAACGAUGUGGGAAGGCCCAGACAGCCAGGAUGUUGGCUUAGAAGCAGCCAUCAUUUAAAGAAAGCGUAAUAGCUCACUGGUCGAGUCGGCCUGCGCGGAAGAUGUAACGGGGCUAAACCAUGCACCGAAGCUGCGGCAGCGACGCUGAUGCGUUGUUGGGUAGGGGAGCGUUCUGUAAGCCUGUGAAGGUGUGCUGUGAGGCAUGCUGGAGGUAUCAGAAGUGCGAAUGCUGACAUAAGUAACGAUAAAGCGGGUGAAAAGCCCGCUCGCCGGAAGACCAAGGGUUCCUGUCCAACGUUAAUCGGGGCAGGGUGAGUCGACCCCUAAGGCGAGGCCGAAAGGCGUAGUCGAUGGGAAACAGGUUAAUAUUCCUGUACUUGGUGUUACUGCGAAGGGGGGACGGAGAAGGCUAUGUUGGCCGGGCGACGGUUGUCCCGGUUUAAGCGUGUAGGCUGGUUUUCCAGGCAAAUCCGGAAAAUCAAGGCUGAGGCGUGAUGACGAGGCACUACGGUGCUGAAGCAACAAAUGCCCUGCUUCCAGGAAAAGCCUCUAAGCAUCAGGUAACAUCAAAUCGUACCCCAAACCGACACAGGUGGUCAGGUAGAGAAUACCAAGGCGCUUGAGAGAACUCGGGUGAAGGAACUAGGCAAAAUGGUGCCGUAACUUCGGGAGAAGGCACGCUGAUAUGUAGGUGAAGCGACUUGCUCGUGGAGCUGAAAUCAGUCGAAGAUACCAGCUGGCUGCAACUGUUUAUUAAAAACACAGCACUGUGCAAACACGAAAGUGGACGUAUACGGUGUGACGCCUGCCCGGUGCCGGAAGGUUAAUUGAUGGGGUCAGCGCAAGCGAAGCUCUUGAUCGAAGCCCCGGUAAACGGCGGCCGUAACUAUAACGGUCCUAAGGUAGCGAAAUUCCUUGUCGGGUAAGUUCCGACCUGCACGAAUGGCGUAAUGAUGGCCAGGCUGUCUCCACCCGAGACUCAGUGAAAUUGAACUCGCUGUGAAGAUGCAGUGUACCCGCGGCAAGACGGAAAGACCCCGUGAACCUUUACUAUAGCUUGACACUGAACAUUGAGCCUUGAUGUGUAGGAUAGGUGGGAGGCUUAGAAGUGUGGACGCCAGUCUGCAUGGAGCCGACCUUGAAAUACCACCCUUUAAUGUUUGAUGUUCUAACGUUGACCCGUGAUCCGGGUUGCGGACAGUGUCUGGUGGGUAGUUUGACUGGGGCGGUCUCCUCCUAAAGAGUAACGGAGGAGCACGAAGGUUGGCUAAUCCUGGUCGGACAUCAGGAGGUUAGUGCAAUGGCAUAAGCCAGCUUGACUGCGAGCGUGACGGCGCGAGCAGGUGCGAAAGCAGGUCAUAGUGAUCCGGUGGUUCUGAAUGGAAGGGCCAUCGCUCAACGGAUAAAAGGUACUCCGGGGAUAACAGGCUGAUACCGCCCAAGAGUUCAUAUCGACGGCGGUGUUUGGCACCUCGAUGUCGGCUCAUCACAUCCUGGGGCUGAAGUAGGUCCCAAGGGUAUGGCUGUUCGCCAUUUAAAGUGGUACGCGAGCUGGGUUUAGAACGUCGUGAGACAGUUCGGUCCCUAUCUGCCGUGGGCGCUGGAGAACUGAGGGGGGCUGCUCCUAGUACGAGAGGACCGGAGUGGACGCAUCACUGGUGUUCGGGUUGUCAUGCCAAUGGCACUGCCCGGUAGCUAAAUGCGGAAGAGAUAAGUGCUGAAAGCAUCUAAGCACGAAACUUGCCCCGAGAUGAGUUCUCCCUGACCCUUUAAGGGUCCUGAAGGAACGUUGAAGACGACGACGUUGAUAGGCCGGGUGUGUAAGCGCAGCGAUGCGUUGAGCUAACCGGUACUAAUGAACCGUGAGGCUUAACCUU
Molecule: ribosomal RNA, 2904 nt
Filed under: Escherichia coli O18ac:H14
Lineage: Bacteria; Pseudomonadati; Pseudomonadota; Gammaproteobacteria; Enterobacterales; Enterobacteriaceae
Description: 23S ribosomal RNA
Rfam family: Bacterial large subunit ribosomal RNA
Source: RNAcentral